RNAcentral lists this ribosomal RNA (774 nucleotides) under uncultured Neocallimastigales. Its description in RNAcentral is "partial large subunit ribosomal RNA". It matches the Rfam family "Eukaryotic large subunit ribosomal RNA", at positions 24 to 616 of the family's 3401-position model. The record is from RNAcentral. Lineage: Eukaryota; Fungi; Neocallimastigomycota; Neocallimastigomycetes; Neocallimastigales.
UAUGUGAUCGUCUCUCGCAUAUCAAUAAGCGGAGGAAAAGAAACUAACAAGGAUUCCCCUAGUAACGGCGAGUGAAGCGGGAAGAGCUCAAAUUUGAAAUCUUAAAGGGUUUCCCUUUACGAAUUGUAGUUUAAAGAAGUGUUUUCUGUUGAGGUUUGGGUAAAAGUUCUUUGGAAUAGGACAUCAUAGAGGGUGAGAAUCCCGUAUUUGACCUUUACUUUCAACUUUGUGAUACACUUUCAAAGAGUCGGAUUGUUUGGGAAUGCAGUCCAAAAUGGGUGGUAAAUUUCAUCUAAAGCUAAAUAUUGGCGAGAGACCGAUAGCGAACAAGUACCGUGAGGGAAAGAUGAAAAGAACUUUGAAAAGAGAGUUAAACAGUACGUGAAAUUGUCAAAAGGGAAGCGUUUGACACCAGUGUUGUUUUUCUGAAAAUCAAUUAAAGAACUGUUUAUGCUAAGCUGUUUAGACUUUAUCAGCUAUCUGUUUAGUUUUGAGCUUUUCUUUAAUGCACUUUUCAGUUAACAAGUCAACAUCAAUUUCUUUUGCUGUAAAAAAGCUUGAGGAAGGUGGCUUGAGAUUCGUCUUAAGUGUUUAUAGCCUCUUGCCUAUGCAGUCGGAGAGAUUGAGGUCUGCAGCGUAGAUCCUUCGGGGCUAAAUGCAUUUGUGCUAAGUUAUAGCAUUUUAUAGACAACUUGUUGACUAUGAUUUGUCUUGUAGCUUACUCGCUUAUGUUAUUUUACCUACGCUUAGGAUGUUGAGCGCAUGUCUCUCUCU